GUCUAUGGACAAAUUACAUGGAACCUGUCAGGUUUCUCAGAUCAUAGAAGCUAAGAAUGGCUGGGCCUGAUGAAUACUUGGGUGAGAAACCACCUGGAAAUACCAGGUGCUGCAGAUU
This 118-nucleotide ribosomal RNA is filed under the name Phascolarctos cinereus (koala). The record is from RNAcentral. Lineage: Eukaryota; Metazoa; Chordata; Mammalia; Diprotodontia; Phascolarctidae.